AUGCAAGCGUUAUCCGGAUUUAUUGGGCGUAAGAAGUAUGUAGGCGGUUAUUAAAGUCUGCAGUGAAAUCUCUAGGCUUAACUUAGAAACUGCCGCGGAUACUUAAUUUCUGGAGAGUAGUGGAGGAGAAUGGAAUUCUCGGUGUAGCGGUAAAAUGUGUUGAUAUCGAGAGGAACACCAGAGGCGAAAGCGAUUCUCUAUACUGACUCUGACGCUGAGAUACGAAAGCUAGGGUAGCGAAAGGGAUUAGAGACCCCUGUAGUCCUAGCCGUAAACGAUGAAUGCUAGAUGUCAGAGGUAUCGACCCCUCUGGUGUCGCAGUUAACGCGUUAAGCAUUCUGCCUGGGGAGUACGGCCGCAAGGCUAAAACUCAAAGGAAUUGACGGGGACCCGCACAAGCAGCGGAGCGUGUGGUUUAAUUCGAUGAUGCACGAAGAAUCUCACCAAGGCUUGACAUAUAAGUGGUAGUGAAGUGAAAGCGGAACGACCCUUCGGGGAGCUUAUACAGGUGCUGCAUGGCUGUCGUCAGCUCGUGCCGUGAGGUGUAUGGUUAAGUCCCAUAACGAGCGCAACCCCUGUGGUAUGUUAUAUCUUUCAUGCCAAACUGCCAAGGUUAACUUGGGGGAAGGUGGGGAUGACGUCAAGUCAGCAUGGCCUUUAUGUCUUGGGCUACACACACGCUACAAUGGCUAGUACAAUGGGUUUGCCAAGCCGUGAGGUGGAGCUAAUCUUAUCAAAGCUAGCCUCAGUUCAGAUUGGAGUCUGAAACUCGACUCCAUGAAGUUG
RNAcentral lists this ribosomal RNA (786 nucleotides) under uncultured organism. Its description in RNAcentral is "bacterial SSU rRNA". It matches the Rfam family "Bacterial small subunit ribosomal RNA", at positions 532 to 1328 of the family's 1533-position model. The record is from RNAcentral.